This 71-nucleotide transfer RNA is filed under the name Marmota monax (woodchuck). Its description in RNAcentral is "tRNA.Val". Lineage: Eukaryota; Metazoa; Chordata; Mammalia; Rodentia; Sciuridae. The record is from RNAcentral.
GGGGUUGUGGCUCAGCGGUCGAGCGCUCACUUAACACGUGCAAGGCCCUGGGUUCGAUCCUCAGCACCACA